This 209-nucleotide long non-coding RNA is filed under the name Erythranthe guttata (spotted monkey flower). RNAcentral's name for it is "long non-coding RNA (EGUT_LNC002305)". Lineage: Eukaryota; Viridiplantae; Streptophyta; Magnoliopsida; Lamiales; Phrymaceae. The record is from RNAcentral.
AUGAAUAAAAAAUGCACUGGAAGCAAUCAUAUAACGGCGAUCAAGUAAUCGGAGCCAUGACAAUCAAAUUGGAGAAUGAAAAUCAGAAAUUAUGCGGAAGGGAAAAACGAAUUCAAUCUGAUACCAUGUUAGAACCGAAAAACUCCAUUGGGGCUUGGGAAGAACAUAAUCGAGAGAAAGGUUGAAGAAAGGGGAAGAAAUCUUAUUGA